AGCUCCAAUAGCGUAUAUUAACGUUGCUGCAGUUAAAAAGCUCGUAGUUGGAUCUCGGGGUACCUGGUCUAGCCGGUAUAGCUCACGCUAAAACUGGUCUGACCCCCCAACGUGAGGUAUUCGUCUCCGGGUGCACUUCAUUGGGUGCUCGUGAGGGGCCUCGUAGUUACUGUGAAAAAAUUAGAGUGUUCAAAGCAGGCUCAUAUGUUCGGAUAGUCGUGCAUGGAAUAACUGUUUACGUGACUGGCGCCUGUCAGUUGGUCUCUUCGACUGGUCAAAUGAUUAAGAUUGACUGCCCGGGGCAUUGGUAUGGCGGGGUUAGAGGUGAAAUUCUUGGAUCCUCGCCAGACCAGCAAAAGCGACAGCAUUUGCCAAGAAUGUCAUCA
RNAcentral lists this ribosomal RNA (386 nucleotides) under marine Metazoa environmental sample. RNAcentral's name for it is "SSU rRNA". It matches the Rfam family "Eukaryotic small subunit ribosomal RNA", at positions 587 to 973 of the family's 1831-position model. Lineage: Eukaryota; Metazoa. The record is from RNAcentral.